RNAcentral lists this ribosomal RNA (848 nucleotides) under uncultured bacterium. RNAcentral's name for it is "bacterial SSU rRNA". It matches the Rfam family "Bacterial small subunit ribosomal RNA", at positions 66 to 919 of the family's 1533-position model. The record is from RNAcentral.
GGGUAGAAGGAGCUUGCUCCUUUGAGACCGGCGCACGGGUGCGUAACGCGUAUGCAAUCUACCUUUCACAGAGGGAUAGCCCAGAGAAAUUUGGAUUAAUACCUCAUAGUAUAGCAGUUUCGCAUGAAACCACUAUUAAAGUCACAACGGUGAAAGAUGAGCAUGCGUCCCAUUAGCUAGUUGGUAAGGUAACGGCUUACCAAGGCAACGAUGGGUAGGGGUCCUGAGAGGGAGAUCCCCCACACUGGUACUGAGACACGGACCAGACUCCUACGGGAGGCAGCAGUGAGGAAUAUUGGACAAUGGGCGCAAGCCUGAUCCAGCCAUGCCGCGUGCAGGAUGACGGUCCUAUGGAUUGUAAACUGCUUUUGUACAGGAAGAAACACCUCUACGUGUAGAGACUUGACGGUACUGUAAGAAUAAGGAUCGGCUAACUCCGUGCCAGCAGCCGCGGUAAUACGGAGGAUCCAAGCGUUAUCCGGAAUCAUUGGGUUUAAAGGGUCCGUAGGCGGUUUAGUAAGUCAGUGGUGAAAGCCCAUCGCUCAACGGUGGAACGGCCAUUGAUACUGCUAGACUUGAAUUAUUAGGAAGUAACUAGAAUAUGUAGUGUAGCGGUGAAAUGCUUAGAGAUUACAUGGAAUACCAAUUGCGAAGGCAGGUUACUACUAAUUGAUUGACGCUGAUGGACGAAAGCGUGGGUAGCGAACAGGAUUAGAUACCCUGGUAGUCCACGCCGUANACGAUGGAUACUAGCUGUUGGGCGCAAGUUCAGUGGCUNAGCGAAAGUGAUAAGUAUCCCACCUGGGGAGUACGUUCGCAAGAAUGAAACUCAAAGGAAUUGACGGGGG